ACCACUACGAAUAUAAGAUUUAUAAGCAUCUUUACACUGAAUAGAUAAUAUUUUUGGUAAAAUAACAUCUUUACAUUAAAUAUAGUUUCUGUCAAUCAUUGUUUUAAAAUAUGCAAUGGACUAAAUACAUAUGAAAAGAAGUUUAAUAAAUAUCCAUACAUAAUUUUGACGUACAUGUUGCCAAAAAAGAAAAGAAAAUAAAAAAGUUUGUUAAUAUUACAUUUUCACCAUAUAUUAAAUUUAGACAUACAUGUUGCUAAAAAGAAGGAAAAAAACAUUUAGACCU
This 286-nucleotide long non-coding RNA is filed under the name Capsella rubella. RNAcentral describes it as "long non-coding RNA (CRUB_LNC002211)". The record is from RNAcentral. Lineage: Eukaryota; Viridiplantae; Streptophyta; Magnoliopsida; Brassicales; Brassicaceae.